RNAcentral lists this ribosomal RNA (497 nucleotides) under uncultured bacterium. RNAcentral's name for it is "partial 16S ribosomal RNA". It matches the Rfam family "Bacterial small subunit ribosomal RNA", at positions 28 to 507 of the family's 1533-position model. The record is from RNAcentral.
GAUGAACGCUGGCGGCGUGCCUAAUACAUGCAAGUCGAGCGAACGGACGAGAAGCUUGCUGCUCUGAUGUUAGCGGCGGACGGGUGAGUAACACGUGUAUAACCUACCUAUAAGACGGGGAUAACUUCGGGAAACCGGAGCUAAUACCGGAGAAUAUUUUGAACCGCAUGGGUGAAAGGUGAGAUACGGUCUUUCGGUCACUUAUAGAUGGAUACGCGCUGCAUUAGCUAGUUGGUAAGGUAACGGGUUACCAAGGCAACGAUGCAUAGCCGACCUGAGAGGGUGAUCGGCCACACUGGAACUGAGACACGGUCCAGACUCCUACGGGAGGCAGCAGUAGGGAAUGUUCCGCAAUGGGCGAAAGCCUGACGGAGCAACGCCGCGUGAGUGAUGAAGGUCUUCGGAUCGUAAAACUCUGUUAUUAGGGAAGAACAUAUGUGUAAGUAAAUGUGCACAUAUUGACGGUAACUAAUAAGAAAGCCACGGCUAACUACGUG